RNAcentral lists this ribosomal RNA (449 nucleotides) under uncultured bacterium. RNAcentral's name for it is "partial 16S ribosomal RNA". It matches the Rfam family "Bacterial small subunit ribosomal RNA", at positions 29 to 526 of the family's 1533-position model. The record is from RNAcentral.
AACGAACGCUGGCGGCAUGCCUAAUACAUGCAAGUCGAACGAGAUCUUCGGAUCUAGUGGCGCACGGGUGCGUAACGCGUGGGAAUCUGCCCUUGGGUUCGGAAUAACAGUUAGAAAUGACUGCUAAUACCGGAUGAUGACGAAAGUCCAAAGAUUUAUCGCCCAAGGAUGAGCCCGCGUAGGAUUAGCUAGUUGGUGAGGUAAAGGCUCACCAAGGCUACGAUCCUUAGCUGGUCUGAGAGGAUGAUCAGCCACACUGGGACUGAGACACGGCCCAGACUCCUACGGGAGGCAGCAGUAGGGAAUAUUGGACAAUGGGCGAAAGCCUGAUCCAGCAAUGCCGCGUGAGCGAUGAAGGCCUUAGGGUUGUAAAGCUCUUUUACCCGGGAUGAUAAUGACAGUACCGGGAGAAUAAGCCCCGGCUAACUCCGUGCCAGCCGCAGUAACAC